GAGCGCCAGCUUAGACUCUUGUUUCAGGUUGCUGAGAGAUGUCAACCUUCUAUAAUAUUCUUUGAUGAGAUAGAUGGUUUAGCCCCUUGUCGUACAAGGCAGCAAGAUCAGACUCACAGUUCAGUUGUCUCCACAUUGCUUGCUUUAUUGGAUGGUUUAAAAUCCCGAGGUUCAGUGGUGGUGAUAGGUGCAACAAAUCGACCUGAAACAAGAGUCUAAGCUGGCGCUC
This 229-nucleotide unclassified non-coding RNA is filed under the name Hevea brasiliensis (rubber tree). The record is from RNAcentral. Lineage: Eukaryota; Viridiplantae; Streptophyta; Magnoliopsida; Malpighiales; Euphorbiaceae.